GACGAACGCUGGCGGCGUGCCUAAUACAUGCAAGUCGAGCGAGCUUGCCUAGAUGAUUUUAGUGCUUGCACUAAAUGAAACUAGAUACAAGCGAGCGGCGGACGGGUGAGUAACACGUGGGUAACCUGCCCAAGAGACUGGGAUAACACCUGGAAACAGAUGCUAAUACCGGAUAACAACACUAGACGCAUGUCUAGAGUUUGAAAGAUGGUUCUGCUAUCACUCUUGGAUGGACCUGCGGUGCAUUAGCUAGUUGGUAAGGUAACGGCUUACCAAGGCAAUGAUGCAUAGCCGAGUUGAGAGACUGAUCGGCCACAUUGGGACUGAGACACGGCCCAAACUCCUGCGGGAGGCAGCAGUAGGGAAUCUUCCACAAUGGACGAAAGUCUGAUGGAGCAACGCCGCGUGAGUGAAGAAGGGUUUCGGCUCGUAAAGCUCUGUUGGUAGUGAAGAAAGAUAGAGGUAGUAACUGGCCUUUAUUUGACGGUAAUUACUUAGAAAGUCACGGCUAACUACGUG
RNAcentral lists this ribosomal RNA (519 nucleotides) under uncultured bacterium. Its description in RNAcentral is "partial 16S ribosomal RNA". It matches the Rfam family "Bacterial small subunit ribosomal RNA", at positions 28 to 507 of the family's 1533-position model. The record is from RNAcentral.